Schistosoma rodhaini is the source of this 48-nucleotide non-coding RNA. The record is from Rfam. Lineage: Eukaryota; Metazoa; Platyhelminthes; Trematoda; Strigeidida; Schistosomatidae.
AUCCAGCUGACAAGUCCCAAAUAGGACGAAACGCGCUUCCAACUGGAG